This 82-nucleotide small RNA is filed under the name Sinorhizobium meliloti 2011. RNAcentral's name for it is "putative ncRNA". Lineage: Bacteria; Pseudomonadati; Pseudomonadota; Alphaproteobacteria; Hyphomicrobiales; Rhizobiaceae. The record is from RNAcentral.
AGAUGUACGGCGCAGCAGCUUAUCGGCAACGCAUCUGAUUUUGCCGAUCCGUUUGCUGAGCGGAAACGGCACGACCUCGCAC